Molecule: ribosomal RNA, 468 nt
Filed under: uncultured bacterium
Lineage: Bacteria
Description: partial 16S ribosomal RNA
Rfam family: Bacterial small subunit ribosomal RNA
Source: RNAcentral
GACGAACGCUGGCGGCGUGCUUAACACAUGCAAGUCGAACGGAAAGGCCCUGCUUUUGUGGGGUGCUCGAGUGGCGAACGGGUGAGUAACACGUGAGUAACCUGCCCUUGACUUUGGGAUAACUUCAGGAAACUGGGGCUAAUACCGGAUAGGAGCUCCUGCUGCAUGGUGGGGGUUGGAAAGUUUCGGCGGUUGGGGAUGGACUCGCGGCUUAUCAGCUUGUUGGUGGGGUAGUGGCUUACCAAGGCUUUGACGGGUAGCCGGCCUGAGAGGGUGACCGGCCACAUUGGGACUGCGAUACGGCCCAGACUCCUACGGGCGGCAGCAGUGGGGAAUAUUGCACAAUGGGCGGACGCCUGAUGCAGCAACGCCGCGUGCGGGAUGCCGGCCUUCGGGUUGUAAACCGCUUUCGCCUGUGACGAAGCGUGAGUGACGGUAAUGGGUAAAGAAGCACCGGCUAACUACGUG